UACGUAGGGUGCAAGCGUUAAUCGGAAUUACUGGGCGUAAAGCGUGCGCAGGCGGUUUUGCAAGACAGAUGGGAAAUCCCCGGGCUUAACCUGGGAACUGCAUUUGUGACUGCAUAGCUGGAGUACGGUAGAGGGGGAUGGAAUUCCGCGUGUAGCAGUGAAAUGCGUAGAGAUCCGGAGGAACACCAGUGGCGAAGGCGGCUCGCUGGGCUCUACCUGACGCUGAGGCGCGAAAGCGUGGGGAGCGAACCGG
Molecule: ribosomal RNA, 253 nt
Filed under: uncultured bacterium
Lineage: Bacteria
Description: partial 16S ribosomal RNA
Rfam family: Bacterial small subunit ribosomal RNA
Source: RNAcentral